This 492-nucleotide ribosomal RNA is filed under the name uncultured bacterium. RNAcentral describes it as "partial 16S ribosomal RNA". It matches the Rfam family "Bacterial small subunit ribosomal RNA", at positions 29 to 507 of the family's 1533-position model. The record is from RNAcentral.
AGUGAACGCUGGCGGUAGGCCUAACACAUGCAAGUCGAACGGCAGCACAGUAAUAGCUUGCUCUUCCGGGUGGCGAGUGGCGGACGGGUGAGGAAUACAUCGGAAUCUACUCUUUCGGGGGGGUUCACGUAGCGAAACUUACGCUAAUAUCGCAUAUGAUCUACGGUUGAAAGCAUUGGAUCUUCUGACCUUGCGCGGAUGAAUUAGCCGAUGUCGGACUAGAUAGUUGGGGGGGUGAUUGCCCACCAAGGCGCGGAUCCGUAGCUGGACUGAGAGAAUGAUCGGCGGCCCUGGAACGGGAACACGGUCCAGACUCCUACGGGAGGCAGCAGUGGGGAAUAUUGGACAAUGGGCGCAAGCCUGAUCCAGCCAUACCGCGUGGGUUAAGAAGGCCUUCGGGUUGUAAAGCCCUUUUGUUGGGAAAGAAAAGCAGCAGGUUAAUACCACGCUGUUCUGACGGUACCCAAAGAAUAAGCACCGGCUAACUACGUG